GGGGGCCUACGGGAGGCAGCAGUGGGGAAUAUUGCACAAUGGGGGAAACCCUGAUGCAGCGACGCCGCGUGAGUGAAGAAGUAUUUCGGUACGUAAAGCUCUAUCAGCAGGGAAGAAAAUGACGGUACCUGACUAAGAAGCCCCGGCUAACUACGUGCCAGCAGCCGCGGUAAUACGUAGGGGGCAAGCGUUAUCCGGAUUUACUGGGUGUAAAGGGAGCGUAGACGGCAGCG
This 233-nucleotide ribosomal RNA is filed under the name uncultured bacterium. Its description in RNAcentral is "partial 16S ribosomal RNA". It matches the Rfam family "Bacterial small subunit ribosomal RNA", at positions 333 to 583 of the family's 1533-position model. The record is from RNAcentral.